Molecule: long non-coding RNA, 1772 nt
Filed under: Ananas comosus (pineapple)
Lineage: Eukaryota; Viridiplantae; Streptophyta; Magnoliopsida; Poales; Bromeliaceae
Description: long non-coding RNA (ACOM_LNC027790)
Source: RNAcentral
UUAAUUCCUUCUAAUCAUUUGGAAAUGUACGUAACGAUAUAUAAAGUUGGGCUACUAUACUUUUAUAAGUAUAAAUUUUUUUGUACUUAUAAAUUUUCGACCGUUAAAUCUAUCUCUUGAAUUAUUUCCACCCGUUAGGUCAUACUAUCCAACCAACCACCCACUCAACCCCAGGGGAUCACUAUCAUCGUAACUGCACAUUUCUUCAUCCAAUGACCGAAACUUAUGAGUAAAAAAGGAUUUAUCUGCACAUAUCUUCAUCCGAUGGCCGAAACUUAAAAAUAAAAAGGGAUUUAUACUCAUAAGAAUAUAUAUAUUCUAUCGGUAGCACGGAGGCCUCCGUGCUACCAAGUUGUUUUCAAUGAUGCGGCUCCAAAUCGACGAUCGGCUCCGUCAGACUUUAUCUACAAUAUUGAUGAUAUUUGGAAACUAAAUUUCAUAUUUUUUUCGGUAUCAUUUACCUAUCAAACGAGUAGUCUAAAAUGAACGGCUGAAAAUAAAAAUCUCAUAAAAAAUAAUGAUAAAAGACUUGAAUUUAAAAUCAAAGAUACUGAUCUUACUUUAAAUAGUGAAAAAAAAUUUUUAUAAAAAUUUUAUCAGAUUUGAAUUAUUUUACACCGUUAAAUUCGAAAACACAUCACAUCUACCAUUAAAAUUGUCAAUUUUGAGGCCUUUUGAUCACUAGCCAAAUGAUAUCGAAAAAUUAUAAAUUUUAGUUUCCAAAUACUUUUAAUAGUGUAGAUCAAGUCUAACGGAGCCGAUCGUCAAUUUAGAAACCGCAUCAUCGAAAAUAAUUUGGUAGCACGAAAGUCUCCUUACUACCGAUAGUAUACCAGCCUAGCAUACUAGAUGCACUCCAUAUAUAUAUAUGGAGUGCAUCUGAUAUGUAUAUAUAUAUAUAUGGAGUGCAUCUGGUAUGCUUCUGGAAGCACAGAGCGCUCUGUACUUCCAAGUUGGUUUGGAUGUUGGGACUUUUGAAUCGACGAUCAGCUCCGUUAGACUUGAUCAAAAGUAUUUUAAGUAUCUAUAAAAUAAAUUUUGCAAUUUUUUAAUAUCAUUUGCCUAGUGAUUAAAGUGGCUCAAAAUCCUCGGCUGAAAAUAAAAAUCUUACAAAAUAUGAUGAUAUGACAUUAAAAUUUUAGAUCAAAGAUGUUGAUAUUGUUUUAUAUAGUAUAAAGAAUUUUCUAUCAAAAUUUCACGUGAUUUGAAUAUUUCUACACUGUUAAACUUGCAAACGACUCACCACGGCUAUUAAAAUUAUUGAUUUUGAGCCCCUUCGAGCACUAGGCAAAUGAUAUCGAAAAAUCACAAAAUUUAUUUUCUAGAUACUUCAAAUACUCUAAAUCAAGUCUAACGGAGCCGAUCGUCGAUUCAAAGGUCUCAACAUCGAAAACGACUUGGAUAGAAGCAUACUAGCUCACUCUAUAUGUGUGUGUGUGUGUGUGUGUGUGUGUGUGUGUGUGUGUGUGUGUGUGUGUAUAGAGAGAGAGAGAGAGAGAGCGAGAGAGAGAGAGAGAGAGCGAGAGAGAGAGAGUCGGGCUAGAAUACUAUUGAUAGUAAAAGGCUCUUUUUGCUAUCAAGUUUUUAACACUUGGAUGAAAAAUUAUAGGGUUAGGAUAAUAUUAGUUAGUUAGAAUUGAAUGGUUCCCUCAGGGCUAAGUGGUCCCCACUGGGUUAUAAUAUUUAAUCUAAUGGUUAAAAAUGAUGAAAGGAGUUAAUCCAAAAGCUAAACACUUGAUAGCAAAAUCGGCCUUGUAGCCAACUAUAUAUAU